RNAcentral lists this ribosomal RNA (406 nucleotides) under uncultured bacterium. Its description in RNAcentral is "partial 16S ribosomal RNA". It matches the Rfam family "Bacterial small subunit ribosomal RNA", at positions 30 to 526 of the family's 1533-position model. The record is from RNAcentral.
AUUGAACGCUGGCGGCAGGCUUAACACAUGCAAGUCGAACGAGUGGCGGACGGGUGAGUAAUGUCUGGGAAACUGCCUGAUGGAGGGGGAUAACUACUGGAACCGGUAGCUAAUACCGCAUACCAUCGGUUCUGCCCUGAGGGGAUUAGCUAGUCGGUGGGGUAAAGGCUCACCUAGGCGACGAUGCCUAGCUGGUCUGAGAGGAUGACCAGCCACACUGGAACUGAGACACGGUCCAGACUCCUACGGGAGGCAGCAGUGGGGAAUAUUGCACAAUGGACGAAAGACUGACACAGCAAUGCCGCGUGUAUGAAGAAGGCCUUCGGGUUGUAAAAUACUUUCAGCAGGGAAGCGGUACCUAAAGAAGAAGCACCGGCUAACUCCGUGCCAGCAGCCGCGGUAAUAC